CGGGCGGACCAAUCAGCUGCUCGUGUCCUCUGCGGCUGCGGCGCUGUGCAGCGACAGGAUGUGUCACGUGGGUGGAGGGCCCUCUCACUGAGUCCUGUAACAGCUGAGUGUGUGUAACUGGAUGGCGACCAAACACUUAAUCACUGUGUCGGAUGAUUCUUCGGAUGAAGCAGUGCGUUCUACUUGUGAUGAUGCCACAGUGUGCAAAAGGUUUGCAGUGAGUAAGGGCUACUGGAAGGAUCCCUAUAUUCAGCAUUUUAUCAGGCAGCCAUCAGAAAGGAAAGCACCUGAAAUCAGCCGAGGCUACUAUGCCCGUGUGAAGGGAGUGAAUCUGUUACUGGAUGCUUUUAUAAAGAAAACAAGCUGUAAUUGUCAAGUAAUAAACGUCGGAGCUGGUCUGGACACCACUUUCUGGCGGCUCAAGGAUGAAAAUCUGCUUCCAAAAAAAUAUUUUGAGGUUGACUUCCCAAUGAUCACUGCCAGAAAAAUACAUUUAAUCAAAACAAAGCCUCCCUUGUCAAAGCCGAUUCUGGAAACCCAUUCAAGUAAUAACCUGAAAAUAGAUGGUUAUGACAUGGACUCGGAUCACUACAGCAUCAUUGGACAAGAUCUCCGUGACUUGCCCGUAUUUGUGGAAAAACUGAAGAAAUAUGGCUUAGAUGUGAAAUUACCAACACUGUUAAUGGCAGAAUGUGUUCUUGUGUACAUCACACUUGAGCAGUCUGUAGAACUGGUAAAAUGGGCAUCGAGUAGCUUUAAUACCUGCAUGUUUAUUAACUACGAGCAGGUAAACAUGACGGAUCGUUUUGGCCAAGUCAUGAUAGAAAAUUUGCACCGGCGGCAGUGUAACCUGGCCGGGGUAGACUUCUGUAAAACGCUCGACACACAGAAAGAUCGUUUUCUGUUGAAUGGCUGGGACCAGGCAGAUGCUCUAGAUAUGAUGGACGUUUACAACAGUUUACCUCAAGCUGAUGUUCAGAGGAUUGAACUCCUUGAAUUCUUAGAUGAAAAAGAACUUUUGCAGCAACUUCUACAGCAUUACUGUAUCUGCUGGGCCACAAAAGGAGGCAGUCCCUUGGUGGCAGUUUCUCUACGAGUUCAAGUUGUUGCAACUGAACCUUGACAUUAUCUGGAUCAGUCAUAAAAUGGUUCCCUCAAUGUCUUCAAUAAUGGAUAAAUGGAUAAAAAAUGAAGGAAACCGGUUAAUUAAGGGAUCAGCGAGAUGACGUUUGGAAGUGUGUGAUUUCCAAUGAGAAGCUUUAUGUGGUACUCUGUGUGAGGGAAGGACAUUCUCUGACAGCACCAAUGGACGAUGCCUUUAAGAUGAAAUGUUUGUUGCUGUUUUUUAUUGUAUGUAUGGAGCAACAGCAACAAAUUACAAACUUGUGUGCGCUCCCAGGCUGCUGUUGUAUUAUGUCAGAUUAGCCAACCCCAUGUUUGGAUGACUGACUGGAUUGAUUUAAUUUCUGAAGCUCAUAUUUAAAUAACUCUCUUUUUCGUAUGAGUCAAUGCUUUCAUCAUAACAAUGGUAGCUUGGCGGUAAUGAUCAAUAAAGAAAAUUCCAAUUUACCACUAAAGCUGUGAUUUUAAAAGGACUGUUUUUGCAGGCAACGAAUUGAUUCUCCAAGUGAGAACUUGCACUGGGAAUGGGUUCAAACUAAAUAAAUGAAUUUGUUUUAAAAUAA
Molecule: RNA transcript, 1685 nt
Organism: Callorhinchus milii (elephant shark)
Lineage: Eukaryota; Metazoa; Chordata; Chondrichthyes; Chimaeriformes; Callorhinchidae
Gene: lcmt1
Gene name: leucine carboxyl methyltransferase 1
Exons: 13
Source: RefSeq, a predicted model, not a curated record